RNAcentral lists this ribosomal RNA (464 nucleotides) under Capnocytophaga granulosa. Its description in RNAcentral is "bacterial SSU rRNA". It matches the Rfam family "Bacterial small subunit ribosomal RNA", at positions 28 to 495 of the family's 1533-position model. The record is from RNAcentral. Lineage: Bacteria; Pseudomonadati; Bacteroidota; Flavobacteriia; Flavobacteriales; Flavobacteriaceae.
GAUGAACGCUAGCGGCAGGCCUAACACAUGCAAGUCGAGGGAGAAGCCCUUCGGGGCAGAAACCGGCGCACGGGUGCGUAACGCGUAUGCAACCUACCUUUCACAGGGGGAUAGCCCGAAGAAAUUUGGAUUAAUACCCCAUAAUAUUAUUGGAUGGCAUCAUUUGAUAAUUAAAAUUACGAUGGUGAAAGAUGGGCGUGCGUCCUAUUAGCUAGUUGGAGUGGUAACGGCACCCCAAGGCUACGAUAGGUAGGGGUCCUGAGAGGGAGAUCCCCCACACUGGUACUGAGACAGGGACCAGACUCCUACGGGAGGCAGCAGUGAGGAAUAUUGGUCAAUGGUCGGAAGACUGAACCAGCCAUGCCGCGUGCAGGAAGAAUGCCUUAUGGGUUGUAAACUGCUUUUAUAUGGGAAGAAUAAGGAGUACGUGUACUUUGAUGACGGUACCAUAUGAAUAAGCAUCG